Long non-coding RNA from Peromyscus leucopus (white-footed mouse), 72 nucleotides. RefSeq lists it as uncharacterized. The record is from RefSeq and is a predicted model, not a curated record. Lineage: Eukaryota; Metazoa; Chordata; Mammalia; Rodentia; Cricetidae. The transcript is spliced from 3 exons.
GCCAAGGCGGCUGAGGAGCCAAUGGGGCGAAGCUACCAUCUGUGGGAUUAUGACUGAGCGCCUCUAAGUCAG